Molecule: ribosomal RNA, 377 nt
Filed under: uncultured bacterium
Lineage: Bacteria
Description: bacterial SSU rRNA
Rfam family: Bacterial small subunit ribosomal RNA
Source: RNAcentral
GUAGGGGGCGNGCGUUGUCCGGAUUUAUUGGGCGUAAAGNGCUCGUAGGCGGUUCGAUAAGUCGGAAUGUGAAAUCUCCACGCUUAACGUGGAAGGGUGCAUUCGAUACUAGUCGUGACUAGAGUCCGGCGAGGAGUGUGGAAUUUCUGGUGUAGCGGUGAAAUNGCGCAGAGAUCAGGAGGAACACCCGUAGCGAAGGCGGCACUCUGGGCCGGAACUNGACGCUGAGGAGCGAAAGCGUGGGUAGCGAACAGGAUUAGAUACCCUGGUAGUCCACGCCGUAAACGUUGGGCACUAGGUGUGGGACUCUAUCGACGGGUUCCGUGCCGUAGCUAACGCAUUAAGUGCCCCGCCUGGGGAGUACGGCCGCAAGGCUA